AUUGAACGCUGGCGGCAUGCUUUACACAUGCAAGUCGAACGGCAGCGCGGGCUUCGGCCUGGCGGCGAGUGGCGAACGGGUGAGUAAUGCAUCGGAACGUGCCCAGUAGUGGGGGAUAGCCCGGCGAAAGCCGGAUUAAUACCGCAUACGACCUGAGGGUGACAGCGGGGGACCGAAAGGCCUCGCGCUAUUGUAGCGGCCGAUGUCGGAUUAGCUAGUUGGUGGGGUAAAGGCUUACUAAGGCGACGAUCCGUAGCUGGUCUGAGAGGACGACCAGCCACACUGGGACUGAGACACGGCCCAGACUCCUGCGGGAGGCAGCAGUGGGGAAUUUUGGACAAUGGGGGCAACCCUGAUCCAGCCAUGCCGCGGGCGGGAAGAAGGCCUUCGGGUUGUAAACCGCUUUUGUUCGGGAAGAAAUCCUCUGGGCUAAUACCCCGGGGGGAUGACGGUACCGGAAGAAUAAGCACCGGCUAACUACGUG
This 484-nucleotide ribosomal RNA is filed under the name uncultured bacterium. Its description in RNAcentral is "partial 16S ribosomal RNA". It matches the Rfam family "Bacterial small subunit ribosomal RNA", at positions 28 to 507 of the family's 1533-position model. The record is from RNAcentral.